Molecule: ribosomal RNA, 613 nt
Filed under: uncultured bacterium
Lineage: Bacteria
Description: bacterial SSU rRNA
Rfam family: Bacterial small subunit ribosomal RNA
Source: RNAcentral
CCUACGGGAGGCAGCAGUAAGGAAUAUUGGUCAAUGGACGAAAGUCUGAACCAGCCAUGCCGCGUGAAGGAUUAAGGCCCUCUGGGUUGUAAACUUCUUUUAUCUGGGACGAAAAAAGGGUAUUCUUACUCACUUGACGGUACCAGAGGAAUAAGCACCGGCUAACUCCGUGCCAGCAGCCGCGGUAAUACGGAGGGUGCAAGCGUUAUCCGGAUUUACUGGGUUUAAAGGGUGCGUAGGUGGGCUUGUAAGUCAGUGGUGAAAUCUCCGGGCUUAACCCGGAAACUGCCAUUGAUACUAUAGGUCUUGAAUUAUCUGGAGGUAAGCGGAAUAUGUCAUGUAGCGGUGAAAUGCUUAGAUAUGACAUAGAACACCAAUUGCGAAGGCAGCUUACUACGGAUAUAUUGACACUGAGGCACGAAAGCGUGGGGAGUCAAACAGGAUUAGAUACCCUGGUAGUCCACGCCCUAAACCGAUGGAUACUCGACAUCAGCGAUACACUGUUGGUGUCUGAGCGAAAGCAUUAAGUAUCCCACCUGGAAGUACGAUCGCAAGAUUGAAACUCAAAGANAGUGCGNGNGAGAGACGACGACGACGACGACGGAGGAGGAGG